AAAUGGACUUCCGUAUUCUAAAAAAGCAUGUUGGACUAUCCACCUAGGAAUUUUUAUGAACCACCCCAACUGUCUGAGAUCACCCAUCACCUACUUCAAGCCUGCGUAUAAUAGGGGACAGAAACCAGUAGGAGAGAUAAACCACCUAGAGGACUGACUGGUAUAUAAAGUGCCACUGGUGGAAAAUGUCUUAUGAGCAAAGACUGAAGCAGCAGCUGAAUGGGAUGUUGUAAGAAGCCAGCCACGAUAAGGAAGUCCCUCUGUCAUUUUUCCUGCUGUCAGUCAGACUGAGCUGGUUCUGGAAUCCUGGACCUAUCUGAUCACUGGAGACUUGUACCUUGAGAUAGGGCACCAGAAGAAAUCAUAUACUCAGGACUAAAUGCUACAAUUCAGGAGAGGAUGGCAAAAACAAAUUUGGGAAGAAAUAUUCAGAGCAAGUGUACAAGGUCUGGACUGGUAUACAUAUGAAUGGGGAGUGCAAACAUUCUCCUUAGAAGAGAGAAUGGUGGGAAUCUACAUUUCAAGAUUGCUAUGAAGCAACUUUUAAAAAAAGCACUUCUGACUGCUCAGCAGGAAUAUUCUUCACAUGUCGUAGAGUGGAAAUCUUGAGGAUGUGGCAUGUGCAGGGCCAACAUUUGGCUGUGUGAAGGGCAAACAAUAUCAUCCCUUUGGAGAGCAGGUACCACUCAAAGCAGAAUGAGCAAGCCUCAGUGUGAAAGAGGCAUACACAAUCAGGGCCUUAUGAAGGGGCCAACAAGGUGAGACUUCAGCCCUAUCAGAUAUGGUUCCAUGUCUGUGCAUUCUCAGAAGAUGUGGGGAAAAAUACACAGCAAAGCGAUGAAAUCUCUGAGACAGGUCCUGAGGAACAGAACAAAUACAGCAGAGGAAACCAAAUGACAGGAUUGAGAGGGCAAAUAGAUGUGGAAAACAAAAUUCUGUGUGAUGAGCAAAUUUCAACCACACAAAAGCCAUGCCCUAUUGUUAAGUUUCCAUACCUCACCUGAUGUUCCCUGUGAAGUUCUGUUAUUAUUUUCUAAUGAAACAGCAAUGCAAGGGAAGCAGUGGCAGAGUACUUUUAAUGCUAUCCCUGGGAGCUUAUAUUCCUCUUGCAGUGUGUCCUCUGCAGCUGGAAUAGAAAUGGGAGGGAAUGUGAGAAAUCCAUGUCAGUGAUCCUUAGAUGUGCAUAUAUAUACAUACAAUUCUCAUCUCAUCCUCUCAAAGACCCAACACACAAAACUUUCAGUUCUAGGAGAGAUGUGCUAAAAAGGGCCAUCAUGGAGCCACUUGAGUUAAAGCCCCAAGUCAGUAAACUAAGACUUAGUACCUAACAGUAGUUUCAACCUCCAAGGAUGUGAUCUUUCAGCAGUCAACAUGGCUGUUUCCUGGUCAGCACUAAAACUAUGUUGACAAAUUCCCUACUUUCCCCUUAGGAGGACAACAUUGGCUAAAACAAUGGGUUCUUUUCUGCUUUCUCUCUAUAUUUCAAAACUUUUCCCUUUCUGGAGUUUGAUGGAGUUCCUUUAUAUUUGAUAGGUGGGAAGCUGCCUGAUUCAUAAACCAUUUAAUAAAACCAUUAAGCCUCUAGAAUAUACUCGGUUGAAUUUUAUUUUUUUACAGAUUUGGUGUCAGUGUCUAGAUCCUAGGUAAACUUCUGACCUGUAUUUGAGGACAACAAGAAACACAGGUGUAGGGCUCUAUGAGUCUUUUUUAGUUCACUGUCUUUCUCAACAUUGCCAAGGGCUAUGCUAGUCCAUCUUGCUUUGAGUUCUGCUCUUUUUUUUUGCAUUACAACUCCUGAUCAAAUUGCCUUUCCACCUCAGGGUUAAUGAGUCACUGUGUCACCAACACAGAGGCUCUGACAGAGCACCAGUCUUUAGUCUUUGGCUCAUUCUACAAGUCCACAUUGGUAUCCCUUCCUCAGUUCCAGGCCACAGUCUAUAUUUACUGCUCUUUGCUGCCUUAGGCUAUUCCCCAUUUCCUGUCUGCUGUCUUCAUUAAUGGAACCUGCUGGUUUCAUCCAUGAUGGACAUUGGUGGUGAUGUGUACAGGACACUCUAUUGAACAGUCUGCAGUAACUUCUAAAUUUAGCCCUUGGUUCUGAACUCAGCCACGUUGGGAACUGUUGGUGGCAGUGACAGUUCUUUAUGUGUGUGGCAUCAUACUGCAGUCCCCAUUCUUAGAGGUCUGCCGGUUCAAUCCUUGUCCCAGCCUCUAGUUCUUUGGUUCUUGCUUAUAUCCACAGUUCUACUACCUCAGUGCUGUUGGUUUCUGUUAAUGUGUACAUAAAGUAAAGCUUUAAUUUAAAGAAAACUAAUAAAUAAAUACAUAAAUAAGCAAAUAAAAAUAAAGGGGAUCUUUAAAAUCCAGAGUUAAUUUUUCUACACUUUAGCACAUUGCUUAUUUUAUAUCUAAUAAUUAUGGUUCCGGAAGCUAUAAAAAUCUAUAAUCCUGUUUGUGUCCCUAACAGAUUGGGUUGGAGACUUUCAGAUUGGUAGCCAUAAAGUAAGGCCAGAGGAAAUUGUGAGUCACUCCCUAUUUGUAACUAGAUAUGGCUGGAUAGAAAUGUGGGCUAAACACCAUUUAUGGCAAGGGUCCUACUAAACUGCUUCCAGCUCUCAGGGGAAUUGCAAUCUAGAAUUAUAGUUGUUUUUAUGAGGAACACUCCAAUUAGAUAAGAUGAGAGACUCCUAACUCUGGGAAACAAACAAGGGGUAGUGGAAGAGGAGGAGGUAAGCAGGGGGAUGGAAUGACUGGGUGACGGGCACUAAGGGGGGAUGAGCACUGGGUGUUUUACUAUAUGUUGGCAAAUCGAACUCCAAUAAAAAAUAUACAUCAAAAAAAAGAUAACUUGAGAAGUGCACUUAAAAGCAAAAGCUUCAAAAUUCCAAAAUAGCUUCAUUGAAAGUGUCACUACUAAAAGCUGAUAAAAAAAGAAAUGAAGUACCCAAUACAAAAGACCAUAAAACUGAUAUAAUUGUUAAUGCUUUCCACUAUCCUCCUUAAUUUGAAUACUCAUUCUAAGUUAUCUUCUAUCUGAAUUGCCUUGACAGAAACCAUAAAUACAAGUCAGCUCUAGAGGCAAUUCAAAGUUCACCUAUUCUUUUGCCAACCUGAAAACUUUCCAUUUAUUUCAAAGGACUUGUGAGUUAUUGGUCUUAGAAAACCAAAUCUUUCCUGGAGGAACUUGCAUUCUUUCUCUGCCCCCCUAAAGUAAUACACAUUAUCAUGUCUUUGAAAUAGAAACACACCCAUAAUUGCCUGAGACUAAGGGGGGAAAAAAAGGGAAAGAGGCCUUUCUAUAAUACCAACUGCUAAAAUGCACCCAAACUCUAACACAGCCUCCUGAAGAUUAAUUCUUUUUUUUUUGAAGAUUAAUUCUUAAUUAAGUUAAACAAAAUCUUAAAAUCUUUUCCACAAAAAUUACUAAUGACAAGGACUCUGCUGUUGUGUGUCCAUAUAUAUAUGGAGUGUUUUAUUGUAAAAGGGCUCUAUUUGGUUGGUUUGAGGCAGGCACUUGUAAGGAUUGAAUGUUCUAAAACUCUCAGAAAAAUGGACAUUACAUUAAAUGUUGUUCAAGUUCAUGUGAUUUGGAAAAAUAUUCAGUAUUAAAGCUAAUUUAAGACUGUUGGUUUAAUAAAAAUAAAAAUGUCUUUAGAGUUUAUAAGCAUUAAAAAUAACAUUUUUAUUCUACCUUUGUUUACUUAAAGUCAAAUAAAUAAGUUGAUGCUUUCUCUGUUACAAAAAAUUUUUAAUAGCUUGGGAGAACAAUAUAGUGGGAUUUAUUCAUGAGAUGCAUAGUGGUUCAAUAUUCACAGAACAAUCAAUGUGAUACAUUCUAUCAAUAAGAGAGAAGAUAAAAAGCAUGUGUUAUUUCAAUAGAUUCAAAAAGCAUUUGACCAUUUGACAAUGUAGAACAUCUAUUUGUAAUAAAAACCCUAAGUAGUACUAAUGGGAACAUACUAAUGGGAAAAUAAAAGUCUGUUAUGAAAAA
This is a long non-coding RNA of Canis lupus familiaris (dog), 3991 nucleotides long. RefSeq lists it as uncharacterized. Lineage: Eukaryota; Metazoa; Chordata; Mammalia; Carnivora; Canidae. The record is from RefSeq and is a predicted model, not a curated record. The transcript has 2 exons.